AGGUCAUUAUGAUUCACUUUUGAGUUGUUGCUGGCCUCUAGGGGCAUUUGU
RNAcentral lists this ribosomal RNA (51 nucleotides) under Pleurotus giganteus. RNAcentral describes it as "partial 18S ribosomal RNA". The record is from RNAcentral. Lineage: Eukaryota; Fungi; Basidiomycota; Agaricomycetes; Agaricales; Pleurotaceae.